Symphalangus syndactylus (siamang) is the source of this 1697-nucleotide long non-coding RNA. RefSeq lists it as uncharacterized. The record is from RefSeq and is a predicted model, not a curated record. Lineage: Eukaryota; Metazoa; Chordata; Mammalia; Primates; Hylobatidae.
CUCUGAGCGGAGCUCCAGCUCCAGCUCUGUGGAGGAGACGCGGGCUCACCUCCCUACCUGCCGCCCCGGCCACCGCACACCUGGCGGGUGGAGUGUGGGGAAACCUGGCCCUGGCGCCUGCCCACAGUACUGGCCUCGCUCACGGUGGCUGACCUGUCCAUUGUAUCCACUCUCGGAGUUUACGCCUUGGGUAGAAAAAUGCGCCUUUCCUAACGAUGAAGGAGAAUCCACAAAGAUCAGCCGGCUAGAUCAGCUCCUCCUCCUUGCUCUUCUGAGGCCCACUGCCCUGGGGACGGACAAAUGGAGUCUGGGGACCUCUCCGUGGGCUGGAUCCAAUCUCCGAUGCUGCUGCAGCGCCAAGAUCUCGGCACAUUCACAACAUGAUGCAAGAGACGGGCAGUCACUUCAGGAAAGAGAGAGAGAGGGCAGGUACAAGGGCAAUGGUAGGCGGAGCUUUCCCAAGAAGGGUGCCCAAACGAGAAGGCGUUAGAAGCUGCGUUCUUUCUCCAGGAGGGGAUGGACGAAAGCAAAGACCCCUGACCGUGACUGCAGGAACUCAGCCAGGCCCUUAGAAACCGGCGGCGGGCCCCGCCCCUGCGACCAGGAGCCCCGCAAGCUGUGCUCCGCCACCAACCACGUUUCCAGCCGCUACGGCGCGGACCCCUCCUCCGUUCUCCCCACGGGGGCGCACAGCUAGCCCACCCACCCUAGGGGGCGCAUGGAAACCGUGGGGUCCGCUGCGCGCACUUCGGAGUCUAUUCUGGGCGGCUCGGAGGCCUCAUCUCGAUCGCGGGCCCUCCAGGAGCCGCCCCGGUCCAGAGCAGGAUAGGAUGGAGGCUCCCCAAGGGAGGACUGCAGGAAGAUGGAACGGGAUUUCUUCACCUGCCCUUCAUCACCUAAGUGGGCCUAGACUCUAACUGGCUGUCGCUUCCGUGUCAUCGCCACGGUCCCCAUGUGCACCCCGUUUGUCCUCCCCUCUUCCUGCCCUAUGUCGCCUCCCCCAACUCCAUCUCCUUUCGUGACCGCUGGCCGGGUUGACCCUGCGGGGCCCGCGCACUUAACCCUCAGGCCAGCCUGUCCUCCUCUCCCUGUGUGCACCCCAACACCUCCCAGCUUGCUCUGGAGCAUGUAUUAGGUUGGUGCAAAAGUAAUUGCUGUUUUGCAAUUUUUUAAAUGGCAAAAGCCGCAAUUACUUUUGCACCACUUAUAAAUAGGCAAGGGAAACGUGCAAGAAAAGCCUUAGAGAAGGGGCCAAGAGCCAACCACCUAGCCGGCCAGGAGUAUGGGUUUGCCAGAGGCAUGAGAUAUACUGAAGCAGAAAAGGAAGAAAAAAGAUUAAGGAGACAAAUUGUUCGUGAAAAGGGGUUUCCUGAUAAAUUCAGAAACAGCAACUACCAGUUAUGGGGCACUUAAACUGACACUAUCUAAUUAAUCCUCACAACGGUCCUGUGCAGGUGGUGGUUUUGUUUUUUACCAUCUUACAUGCCAGAGCUGCAGUUGGUAUGUAACAAAGGCAGCAUUUGAACCCCGGCCUGCUCAUACCAGAGCGAGGGCAUUUAACUGCACCCACAAAGGACAAUGGAGGAAGACUGCGUCAUUGUAAUAUGAGCAAAUGGGGAAAAGACAAAACAAAUGCUUUUAUCAUGCCCAGGUUGCAAAUUUAUAAAGAUGAAUGAAAUACACAUACAAGAGGCUAA